UACGUAGGGUGCGAGCGUUGUCCGGAAUUAUUGGGCGUAAAGAGCUUGUAGGCGGUUUGUCGCGUCUGCUGUGAAAAUCCGGGGCUCAACCCCGGACUUGCAGUGGGUACGGGCAGACUAGAGUGUGGUAGGGGAGACUGGAAUUCCUGGUGUAGCGGUGAAAUGCGCGGAUAUCAGGAGGAACACCGAUGGCGAAGGCAGGUCUCUGGGCCACUACUGACGCUGAGAAGCGAAAGCAUGGGGAGCGAACAGG
RNAcentral lists this ribosomal RNA (253 nucleotides) under uncultured bacterium. Its description in RNAcentral is "partial 16S ribosomal RNA". It matches the Rfam family "Bacterial small subunit ribosomal RNA", at positions 524 to 776 of the family's 1533-position model. The record is from RNAcentral.